This 238-nucleotide ribosomal RNA is filed under the name uncultured bacterium. RNAcentral's name for it is "partial 16S ribosomal RNA". It matches the Rfam family "Bacterial small subunit ribosomal RNA", at positions 118 to 354 of the family's 1533-position model. The record is from RNAcentral.
UGAGCAAUCUGCCCUUCUCUUUGGAAUAAGCGUUGGAAACGACGUCUAAUGCCGAAUACGACCUCCUUUCGCAUGAUCGGAGGUGGAAAGCUCCGGCGGAGAAGGAUGAGUUCGCGGCCUAUCAGCUAGUUGGUGUGGGUAAUGGCCCACCAAGGCGACGACGGGUAGCCGGCCUGAGAGGGUGACCGGCCACACUGGGACUGAGACACGGCCCAGACCUCCGUACGGGAGCAGCAGG